RNAcentral lists this ribosomal RNA (511 nucleotides) under uncultured bacterium. RNAcentral's name for it is "bacterial SSU rRNA". It matches the Rfam family "Bacterial small subunit ribosomal RNA", at positions 28 to 539 of the family's 1533-position model. The record is from RNAcentral.
GAUGAACGCUGGCGGCGUGCUUAACACAUGCAAGUCGAACGAAGCGAUUGGAAGGAAGUUUUCGGAUGGAAUUCUGAUUGACUGAGUGGCGGACGGGUGAGUAACGCGUGGGUAACCUGCCUCAUACAGGGGGAUAACAGUUAGAAAUGACUGCUAAUACCGCAUAAGCGCACAGGAUUGCAUGAUCCGGUGUGAAAAACUCCGGUGGUAUGAGAUGGACCCGCGUCUGAUUAGCUGGUUGGUGGGGUAACGGCCCACCAAGGCGACGAUCAGUAGCCGACCUGAGAGGGUGACCGGCCACAUUGGGACUGAGACACGGCCCAAACUCCUACGGGAGGCAGCAGUGGGGAAUAUUGCACAAUGGGGGAAACCCUGAUGCAGCAACGCCGCGUGAGUGAAGAAGUAUUUCGGUAUGUAAAGCUCUAUCAGCAGGGAAGAAAAUGACGGUACCUGAGUAAGAAGCCCCGGCUAACUACGUGCCAGCAGCCGCGGUAAUACGUAGGGGGCAAGC